GGCAACACCAGGCCUCCACAGCCCCAGUUUUGGGGAUCCAGCUAUCAGCUGUCUGCCUCUAAGCCAGGUGACCUCAACCUGGCUGUCUCUGGAAUGGGGAGAGGAAGAGGGCUGGCACCUGGCGUGGAAAAUGAGGGGCUGGCUUCUAACAAUGGACAGAUCUCCCAGCAGCCUGUGCGCUGCCCAGGAGGAAGAAAUGAAGGCGCAGCAGCAGAUUCACCAGAAAACUCUCCCCUGACGCCCGAUGAAGGCAAGAAAUGUGAGCUUUGCAAUA
Molecule: long non-coding RNA, 274 nt
Organism: Ochotona princeps (American pika)
Lineage: Eukaryota; Metazoa; Chordata; Mammalia; Lagomorpha; Ochotonidae
Exons: 2
Source: RefSeq, a predicted model, not a curated record